UUCCUACGGGAGGCAGCAGUGGGGAAUUUUGGACAAUGGGCGAAAGCCUGAUCCAGCAAUGCCGCGUGUGUGAAGAAGGCCUUCGGGUUGUAAARCACUUUUGUCCGGAAAGAAAUCCUUUGGGUUAAUACCUCGGGGGGAUGACGGUACCGGAAGAAUAAGCACCGGCUAACUACGUGCCAGCAGCCGCGGUAAUACGUAGGGUGCAAGCGUUAAUCGRAAUUACUGGGCGUAAAGCGUGCGCAGGCGGUUUUGUAAGACGGAUGUGAAAUCCCCGGGCUUAACCUGGGAACUGCAUUCGUGACUGCAAGGCUAGAGUAUGGCAGAGGGGGGUAGAAUUCCACGUGUAGCAGUGAAAUGCGUAGAGAUGUGGAGGAAUACCGAUGGCGAAGGCAGCCCCCUGGGCCAAUACUGACGCUCAUGCACGAARGCGUGGGGAGCAAACAGGAUUAGAUACCCUGGUAGUCC
Molecule: ribosomal RNA, 468 nt
Filed under: uncultured Pandoraea sp.
Lineage: Bacteria; Pseudomonadati; Pseudomonadota; Betaproteobacteria; Burkholderiales; Burkholderiaceae
Description: bacterial SSU rRNA
Rfam family: Bacterial small subunit ribosomal RNA
Source: RNAcentral